This 241-nucleotide ribosomal RNA is filed under the name uncultured bacterium. RNAcentral's name for it is "partial 16S ribosomal RNA". It matches the Rfam family "Bacterial small subunit ribosomal RNA", at positions 116 to 353 of the family's 1533-position model. The record is from RNAcentral.
CGUGGGUAACCUGCCUUAUAGUGGGGGAUAGCCUUUCGAAAGGAAGAUUAAUACCGCAUAAGAUUGUAGUAUCGCAUGAUAUAGCAAUUAAAGGAGCAAUCCGCUAUAAGAUGGACCCGCGUCGCAUUAGCUAGUUGGUGAGGUGAUGGCUCACCAAGGCGACGAUGCGUAGCCGACCUGAGAGGGUGAUCGGCCACAUUGGGACUGAGACACGGUCCAGACUCCUACGGGAGGCAGCAUG